Molecule: ribosomal RNA, 301 nt
Filed under: uncultured bacterium
Lineage: Bacteria
Description: partial 16S ribosomal RNA
Rfam family: Bacterial small subunit ribosomal RNA
Source: RNAcentral
CAGCCGCCACGGUAAUACGUAGGGUGCAAGCGUUAAUCGGAAUUACUGGGCGUAAAGCGUGCGCAGGCGGUUAUAUAAGACAGUCGUGAAAUCCCCGGGCUCAACCUGGGAACUGCGAUUGUGACUGUAUGGCUAGAGUGUGUCAGAGGGGGGUAGAAUUCCACGUGUAGCAGUGAAAUGCGUAGAUAUGUGGAGGAAUACCGAUGGCGAAGGCAGCCCCCUGGGAUAACACUGACGCUCAUGCACGAAAGCGUGGGGAGCAAACAGGAUUAGAUACCCCAGUAGUCCCUGUCUCUUAUAC